ACGCAUGCGUGCAGGAUCCCUGGGCAUAGUCGCUUGUUCUCCGCCCGCGGUGGACCAGCUGCGUAACGGUUCACACACUGAUGGCGCCUGGAGGUUUGGCGAAAUACUGACAGGAUGCGACGUCAACGGGAGCGCAGGGCCAAGAUACCCUUUAUAUCAAACCGUCUAUCCUGGAGCAGAAAAAUCCUGUCUUCAUUGCUAUAGCUACAGAUUCAGAAAUGAGCAUGUAACAAAUUCAGGCCAAAGAGAGGCAAUGGAAAUCAGAGAAACACUGUUCCUGAAAGCUUCUGUCACUCAAGAAUCCAUGAAACAUUCAUGAACUUCACAUCAGAGCUAGAGCAUAUUUGCCUGCCACAGUUAGUUUUGUGUUUCCAUGGAAUUUGAGCAAAACUGAUGCACUUGUCUCCCAGGAUUAAUCCAUACAAGUCACCUCUAAAAUUAUCUUUUCCCAUUCGUUGACUGAGCAAAAUGGACUUCAAGGACCUAAAGGAGGUUAAAUACCACAAGAUGGAGGAGCUUGAGUCUCUGAAUCAUUGUGUGUGAAGUCAUCUGCCAAUUACAUAAAUUGAAUUCUUGGUGAGUGUGAAGUACACAAGUAGCCAUGUAAUUUUGGAAUGAAUGUUACAGAAAUUUACUUACCCUGCCUAAUACACUCCUACCAUUUCAAUUAAUUAGUUCUACUGUAUGUUUAAUGGGAUGAAAUGUAUGUAUAUGUUUUUAUUCUCUAUUUUCUAUUGUUAUGCAUAGCAUAUAAAUUUCUAACAUAAGCGUAACUAUUGAGUCCUUUUAACAUUGUUCCAUAUGGUUAUGUAACAACAUUUUAAUGCUUAAUAGUAAUGAAGAAAGGAGUUCACAGUCAUAGUUUAUCUUGUUCUUAAGUUUUCAUCUAUGUAUUCAAGUGACGGGAUGCUAACUCCAGUUCUUGCCACAUAAAGUGCAAUAUCUUUAAAAGUUACUUGAUCAACCAAUUGUACUUCUAAAUCACUUAGUGGUUUUAUCUGAAUAAAAGAUGUGUGUGUC
Long non-coding RNA from Homo sapiens (human), 1020 nucleotides. Ensembl annotates it as POT1 antisense RNA 1. Its record names the gene POT1-AS1. The record is from Ensembl. NCBI's taxonomy places the organism in Eukaryota, Metazoa, Chordata, Mammalia, Primates, Hominidae.